Molecule: long non-coding RNA, 748 nt
Filed under: Ficedula albicollis (Collared flycatcher)
Lineage: Eukaryota; Metazoa; Chordata; Aves; Passeriformes; Muscicapidae
Description: lncRNA (ENSFALG00000024207.1)
Source: RNAcentral
GAAAGUCUAGUUUAGUAACAUUUCUAACAUUUGCUCUGGCAUUCUUUAUGAGAAACAGAGAAGAUGUAACAAAUUGUGGUGUAUCUGAAUAGUUCUAAGCUACCUGGAAUUCCAGUUUAACAUCAGAAUUCAGGAGCUUGGAAUUCACCCUGGCUUGCUAUUUCACUACCUUCUCAUGUUCCUUCAGGAAUGGAUAAAAUAAUAAAUACCACCAUAAUUUAUUGCUUAGAGAAAGCUGUUAUCAAAUUUAUUAUUGUUUUAAACCUACAGAAAUUUUUCACAGAUGGACUAAUGAGGCAGGAGAAGAGGUCUAGGGGAAACUUCCUUUAUCUGCUUGUUAUUUACACAGUAGUCCAAGAAUACAUUGUGGAAAUAAUGUCCUAUGGUUUCCAAGUCUUUCAUAUUGCAAGCGGUGUUUGUCUGCAGCCUGAAGCAUCAGUCUCCUAGGACAUGGGGAGAAAUAUGCUGAAAAUAUCAUGAAGAAAACUCUAUUACUUUGAAGAUAUUACCAGAAAGGAGAAAACGAUAUUAAAGGAAACCUGCACAAUACUGAAGAAUAAAACAACCCACUCUGAAAAGGAUCUUAACCUUACAAAAGCAGUCAGAAAGGCUUGGGUGCAAUGCAAAGAUGUAAACAAUACCAAAACAAUAAGGGACAUAAAGACAUCAAACUAACAAGAUACAGUGGAAUGGAGGAUAGGGUAUUCUAAAGGGAAAGAAAAUGAGAUUAUCUUUUGGCCAUGCUUUG